RNAcentral lists this ribosomal RNA (331 nucleotides) under Bacillus paralicheniformis. Its description in RNAcentral is "bacterial SSU rRNA". It matches the Rfam family "Bacterial small subunit ribosomal RNA", at positions 1 to 321 of the family's 1533-position model. Lineage: Bacteria; Bacillati; Bacillota; Bacilli; Caryophanales; Bacillaceae. The record is from RNAcentral.
UUCAUGGAGAGUUUGAUCCUGGCUCAGGACGAACGCUGGCGGCGUGCCUAAUACAUGCAAGUCGAGCGGACAGAUGGGAGCUUGCUCCCUGAUGUCAGCGGCGGACGGGUGAGUAACACGUGGGUAACCUGCCUGUAAGACUGGGAUAACUCCGGGAAACCGGGGCUAAUACCGGAUGCUUGAUUGAACCGCAUGGUUCAAUUAUAAAAGGUGGCUUUUAGCUACCACUUACAGAUGGACCCGCGGCGCAUUAGCUAGUUGGUGAGGUAACGGCUCACCAAGGCAACGAUGCGUAGCCGACCUGAGAGGGUGAUCGGCCACACUGGGACUG